Molecule: non-coding RNA, 45 nt
Filed under: Trichobilharzia regenti
Lineage: Eukaryota; Metazoa; Platyhelminthes; Trematoda; Strigeidida; Schistosomatidae
Source: RNAcentral
GGCCAGCUGACGAGUCCCAAAUAGGACGAAAUGCGCAUCCUGGAU